This 484-nucleotide ribosomal RNA is filed under the name uncultured bacterium. RNAcentral's name for it is "partial 16S ribosomal RNA". It matches the Rfam family "Bacterial small subunit ribosomal RNA", at positions 30 to 507 of the family's 1533-position model. The record is from RNAcentral.
AUUGAACGCUGGCGGCAGGCCUAACACAUGCAAGUCGAGCGGAUGAAGGGAGCUUGCUCCUGGAUUCAGCGGCGGACGGGUGAGUAAUGCCUAGGAAUCUGCCUGGUAGUGGGGGAUAACGUCCGGAAACGGGCGCUAAUACCGCAUACGUCCUGAGGUAGAGAUUGGGUGAUCUUCGGACCUCACGCUAUCAGAUGAGCCUAGGUCGGGUUAGCUAGUUGGUGGGGUAAAGGCCUACCAAGGCGACGAUCCGUAACUGGUCUGAGAGGAUGAUCAGUCACACUGGAACUGAGAAACGGUCCAGACACCUACGGGAGGCAGCAGUGGAGAAUAUUGGACAAUGGGCGAAAGCCUGAUACAGCAAUGCCGCGUGUGUGAAGAAGGUCUUCGGAUUGUAAAGCACUUUAAGUUGGGAGGAAGGGAAGUAAGUUAAUACCUUACUGUUUUGACGUUACCAACAGAAUAAGCACCGGCUAACUUCGUG